RNAcentral lists this long non-coding RNA (1300 nucleotides) under Carica papaya (papaya). Its description in RNAcentral is "long non-coding RNA (CPAP_LNC015636)". The record is from RNAcentral. Lineage: Eukaryota; Viridiplantae; Streptophyta; Magnoliopsida; Brassicales; Caricaceae.
GUAGAAAACACAAAGGACCCAUGGAGCAUGUUUUACAACAAAUCCUUUUAUUUAUGAUAAAACCUUUACCAUCCACUUACCUCGGUGGAAUUUAUGAAACAAUAUAAGAAAAACAAUAACAUUAUCAUAAUCAUGGAAUAAUAUAAGCUGUAAAACAUAACACUUAUCACGCCUCUUGUAAUUCAAUCAUUAUACAACAUAUCUUUUUCUCAUUUACCAGCCUAGUAGUAUCCGUGGGGGUCCAUAGGGGUCCCGCUACCCGUUAACCUUUAACAUUCAUAAUCAGUUUCCAAGGCCGUCCCCAUACCCCGUCCGAUAUGGGCGCCAAAACCAUAAGAUCUCAAUACCCCGUCCGGCAUGUGAGACCACAAUCCCGGUAGGGUUCCCUACGGACCCGGUCCGUCCACCAUCUCACAGGAUAUCUUGUCAAGCUGACCCCAUAAUACAAUUAUCAGUCUACACAAUUUUUAUUUUCCUUUUCCUCAGUCAGCAUCAUCAAUUCACAUUUAAACAAGCAAAUCGUAAUUCAUGCCAAACAGACAACAUACAGUAUCAGUUUUUCAGUCAUUCAACCCAUAAUUAAUAAAAACGUAGUAUAUGCACACAAAUCUGUAAAAUGAACACAUCAAACCUCAUUUUGCAUUUAAAGCUGUAAACAGGCCAAAUAACAGUAAAUCACCAAUCACACUAGACUCGGGCUCCAUUAGCCACCUUAAGCAAUUUCACACAUUCGUUAAUUCAAGAAAUACCGUUUUAUCAUUUUGAACUUUAAUACCGUGAUAGGAAAUAGGGUGAGGGGUCCUUACCUGUUUUCGGGAUUCAAAUACGAUUCACAGUGCGCCUACAGGCUGUUCCUAAUUUUUCCUAAAUUUUUUCCGGGGAACUGAAACGCACUAACGGUACCUGUACGUGUUCCAAAAAAUCUCAAAUUAGGCUCAGGGCCCCUUUUUGGCCAAUAUCGCAACUCCGGCACGGCGGCUCCGCCGUGCUCCGGCGACAAGCGGCGGCGAUUCGCCUCGGGUUGGCUGUUUUCGGCCGUUUUUGGCCGAAUUCGGCCACACUCGCAUCGGUCCCUGCGAGAAAACAACCCUAGGGCCCUCAGGGGGCCAAAAAAUCACGGAAAAAUGGAGCUUACCGACGGCAGCGCUCUCGGGUGCAGCGGCUCUCCGGCGAGGUUCGUGUUUUGGUGAUUCGGCUCCGGUCAACCUGUAGAGAAAAGAAUGGUGAUCACGGUGAUAUAAAAAUUGCAUCAAACGGAGGCCGGGAAGGGCCUCGUCGGAGGCAAAAACCGAGAAGGGGC